UACGGAAGGGGCAAGCGUUGUUCGGAAUCAUUGGGCGUAAAGGGCGCGUAGGUGGUUCUGUAUGUCUAUCGUGUAAGCGUACGGCUCAACCGUAUUUUGUCGGUAGAAACUGCAGGACUUGAGGCUGGGAGGGGCUGGUGGAAUUCCCUGUGUAGCGGUGAAAUGCGUAGAGAUGGGGGAGAACACUCGUGGCGAAGGCGGCCAGCUAGACCAGUUCUGACACUGAGGCGCGACAGCGUGGGGAGCAAACAGG
This 253-nucleotide ribosomal RNA is filed under the name uncultured bacterium. Its description in RNAcentral is "partial 16S ribosomal RNA". It matches the Rfam family "Bacterial small subunit ribosomal RNA", at positions 524 to 776 of the family's 1533-position model. The record is from RNAcentral.